UACAUGGGGUGCAAACGUUGCUCGGAAUCAUUGGGCGUAAAGCGCGCGUAGGCGGUUACUUAAGUCGAAUGUGAAAGCCCUCGGCUUAACCGAGGAAGUGCAUCCGAAACUGAGUAGCUAGAGUACGAAAGAGGGUCGCGGAAUUCCCGGUGUAGAGGUGAAAUUCGCAGAUAUCAGGAGGAACACCCGUAGCGAAGGCGGCACUCUGGGCCGGAACUGACGCUGAGGAGCGAAAGCGUGGGGAGCGAACAGG
RNAcentral lists this ribosomal RNA (253 nucleotides) under uncultured bacterium. RNAcentral describes it as "partial 16S ribosomal RNA". It matches the Rfam family "Bacterial small subunit ribosomal RNA", at positions 524 to 776 of the family's 1533-position model. The record is from RNAcentral.